UACGUAGGGUGCGAGCGUUGUCCGGAAUUAUUGGGCGUAAAGGGCUCGUAGGCGGUUUGUCGCGUCGGGAGUGAAAUCCACUGGCUUAACUGGUGGCUUGCUUUCGAUACGUGCAGACUGGAGGUAUGCAGGGGAGAACGGAAUUCCUGGUGUAGCGGUGAAAUGCGCAGAUAUCAGGAGGAACACCGGUGGCGAAGGCGGUGCUCUGGGCAGGUCCUGACGCUGAGGAGCGAAAGCGUGGGGAGCAAACAGG
RNAcentral lists this ribosomal RNA (253 nucleotides) under uncultured bacterium. Its description in RNAcentral is "partial 16S ribosomal RNA". It matches the Rfam family "Bacterial small subunit ribosomal RNA", at positions 524 to 776 of the family's 1533-position model. The record is from RNAcentral.